GUGAUGUGCCUUUUUAACUUCAUUCUGCGCGCCUCUUGGGUUUAUAUUGAAUUCGAAAAUCUUUUCUUCAUCCUCACACCACCCCCUGAGCCCUUCUCAUCGCCGCUACUCUCACUAACCCCUAUUUUGUCCACGCCUCUGAUCCAGAUUUGCCUCAAAUUUCAAUCUUCGCUGAAGAAUCUCACCAGGCAUUCUCGCUUUUGUACACUCCUGGUGUAAAAGCAAAUUUCGAGGCAAAAGACGACAAAAAAUUGUUUGACGUAGCAGGGACUAACUCCCUCCAAGUCGCCACCAUUGUUGAGCAUGCUCGCCUGAAAUGCCGGGAAUACUAGGUCGAGCUUGCACGCGUUCAGGCAGCCCCAAAAGAACUGGAGAAGUAGCUAAGUUCUGUUGAAGAGGAUCUGGAAAGAAAAGAAAAUGAAGUGGAAAAGCAGGACGAAGAGCUUUCCGAGCUGCGAGAGCUCUAAAGAAACGUCGAUGGAUGGAAAAAGAAACUCAAUGAACUUCAAAUUUCCCCAGAUCUAGGUUCCACUGAGCUGCUCCUCCAACUAAAAUGAGCUUUGCUCGGAAUUAUAAGGGAUUUUCCAGUGCUCGGUGAUUGUAACCUUAUGUCCCCGAAGAUCUCUGAACUCGAAGAAAUUAAGAAAUCCCUUCCAGCUCAGAUCGAGAAGGCACAGAAGAAGGCAAGAGAAGAAUUUAAAAAGUCCCCAGAGUUCGAGGCUUUAGUGGAUUAAUUUUCCAAGAAUUUCUUUUAGUGUUUAACGUUUUGCUAUUUAACAUAAUGUGGGAUUCACCAGCUUAGUCAUCAACGUUAAAUGUAAAACAGUGAAGAAAAUGUCGUGUGGAUUUGUUUUUCAG
Punica granatum (pomegranate) is the source of this 858-nucleotide non-coding RNA. The record is from RefSeq and is a predicted model, not a curated record. Lineage: Eukaryota; Viridiplantae; Streptophyta; Magnoliopsida; Myrtales; Lythraceae.